RNAcentral lists this transfer RNA (65 nucleotides) under Phloeopora testacea. RNAcentral's name for it is "tRNA-Gly". The record is from RNAcentral. Lineage: Eukaryota; Metazoa; Arthropoda; Insecta; Coleoptera; Staphylinidae.
AUUUAAAUAGUAUAAUAAUUAUAUUUGACUUCCAAUCGAGAGAUCUAAAUAAAUUAGUUUAAAUA